GACGAACGCUGGCGGCGUGCCUAAUACAUGCAAGUCGAACGCAUCUUUCCUCCCUAGUGCUUGCCGUCAAUUGGAAAGAGGAGUAGCGGACGGGUGAGUAACACGUAGGUAACCUACCCAUUAGAGAGGGAGGACACGUGGUAACAGGGGCUAAUACCGCGUAACAGUUUAUGCCGCAUGGCAUAAGAGUGAAAGGCGCUUUCGGGGGUCGCUGAUGGAUGGAUCCGCGGUUCGUUAGCUAGGUGGUGAGGUAACGGCUCACCAAGGCCACGACGCAUAGCCGACCUGAGAGGGUGAUCGGCCAGACUGGGAGUGAGACACGGCCGAGACUCCUACGGGAGGCAGCAGUAGGGAAUCUUCCGCAAUGGAGGAAAGUCUGACCGAGCAACGCCGCGUGAGUGAAGAAGGUUUUCGGCUCGUAAAACUCUGUUGUUAGUGAAGAACAAAGACGUUAGUAACUGAACGGCUCCUGACGGUACCUAACCAGAAAGCCACGGCUAACUACGUG
Molecule: ribosomal RNA, 508 nt
Filed under: uncultured bacterium
Lineage: Bacteria
Description: partial 16S ribosomal RNA
Rfam family: Bacterial small subunit ribosomal RNA
Source: RNAcentral